CACGUAGGGGACGAGCGUUGUCCGGAUUCAUUGGGCGUAAAGCGCGCGUAGGCGGCUCGGAAAGUCGGUCGUGAAAUGCCGGGGCUCAACCCCGGGACUGCGUCCGAUACUUCCGGGCUGGAGGUAGGUAGGGGAGAUCGGAAUUCCUGGUGUAGCGGUGAAAUGCGCAGAUAUCGGGAAGAACACCCGUGGCGAAGGCGGUUCUCUGGGACGGUACUGACGCUGAGACGCGAAAGCGUGGGGAGCGAACAGG
This 253-nucleotide ribosomal RNA is filed under the name uncultured bacterium. Its description in RNAcentral is "partial 16S ribosomal RNA". It matches the Rfam family "Bacterial small subunit ribosomal RNA", at positions 524 to 776 of the family's 1533-position model. The record is from RNAcentral.